Odocoileus virginianus texanus is the source of this 641-nucleotide long non-coding RNA. RefSeq lists it as uncharacterized. Lineage: Eukaryota; Metazoa; Chordata; Mammalia; Artiodactyla; Cervidae. The record is from RefSeq and is a predicted model, not a curated record.
GGCUGGAGCUCAAACUGCACGUUGCUGAGUGAACAACAUCUCACUCAAAGUUAUUCUUGUUUAGGAUCCGUGAACCUUAGAGGACAUGCACGUUAUGGUAAAAACAAUUUCAGGCAAGCCUGAUCAGUGAAGGAGCCAGGACAGGUUGAUACUCAGCAGAAGGAGUCCUGAGCAGGAAAAGUGCAUGGAAUGUCUGGUGUCAGUCUGUGACUCACCAUUCUUGCUCAUUGGUACACAUAAGACCUCCUUUGGGGACCUGCACAAUUACCUGGGGAGCACUUUGCCUGGAUUUGUGGGUCUACGUUGUGAGUUGGAGAAAAGAUCUAUAGAAGAUGAAGAGGAAGCAUAUUAGCUCUUGAACAUUGAACAAUUCAUUCUGGAGAGAAACCCUGUGAAUAACGUCACCAAGUGUUGGAAGGUCUUCAGUUAUACUGAUGGUUGAAACCCAGAGAAUUCAUACAGGAGAGAAACUGGCUGUGAUAAAUGCGGACAUGAAAAAAAAAAAAGAACAAAACCGUGGACAUGCUCGCUGACCUAGGUGAAGCUUUACAACAACAUCAAAGACUUCAUUUCGGGGAAGAAUCUUAUGAAUGUAAUGAAUGUGGUGAUACCCUCACUAGACCUGUGCCUGAGAAUCUGCU